GAGGCAGCGACCAAGCGGCGCACAAGAAAUCGUCGGGCGACGGCUUCAAAUGAACGCAAAACGUUGAAAAGCAAACAUCCGCCAAAAAAAUAAACGUCCCAAAAUUGCGGCAGCUAAAAAUAAACUUCAAGUACUUUGUUCAUUCACUACACUACGCUUUGGCUGAAAAUUAAACUGUUUUAAUAAGUAAUCAAAAAGUUUUAAGUUUAAAUUCAUAAAUUCGCAAGUUAAAAAUGUGUGUUAUAUGUAUGUGCCAAAUUGAUGUGAACUAUCGAAUUGUUUAGUAUUUUGUUGUUUUCUUUACCGUUAAAAGCGCUGCACAAAAACUGGUUUGCAUUUCACAGCUGCAGCGUGAGUGUAAGAGAGCGAGUGUGUGUGUGUGUGUGUGUGUGUGUGAGUGUGUGUGUGCUUGUGUAUGUAUGAAUGAGAGAUGCAUGUGCAACUCGUUCUAUGGUGAGCCGCAAUUCUGUGAUAAGAGUUAUUUUUAUUACGCGCGUUUUUGUCUGAACUAAAUUAAAUAGUUCUGAUAUUCGAUAAUGAAAUGAUUAGCGGAUUUUAAAACUUUUUGCACUUCUCUCUUUCAGAUAGAAGCGUUGCCCCAUUUAAUUGUAAACGCCGCCCAUAAACACCACAUAACAAAUUUGUGCUCGUUUUCAGGUUGUCAGGUGAAUGUCGCAUGUCAAGGUCUUAUUAAACAUGAAAAUACUCUUAAAGCACAGCCCCAAAAAAGUCGCGUGUCUGUGUGGGUCUUUCGUUUGUCUGUCUGCGUGCCAUUGACAUUGACUUAUGGCUCGCGUUGGGAGAGGGGGCCACGGGCAGCUGGCGGCUGACGACUAACGCCUGGAGACUUACGACGGCUAGGGCUCGAGGUCGACCCUUUGACGCAAACUGUGGCUGAAUUUUUGCUUUAUGCUUCGUUCCGUUCCGUUUCUCGUUUCUCGUUUUCGUUUUCGUCUUCGUAUUCGCAUUCACUACUGCGAUGGCUACGCAUUUUUAUGGUUUGUUUUGCUUCUGUCCGCCAGUUCGUGGCGACGACGUCACACACACACACACACACACACGCAGAAAGAAUGCACGCACACAGACACACAAAAAGAGCCCCAAAAAAGCCUACGUGUUGUUUAUAUGGCGCGCAUGGAAAAGAGCAACAAAGAGAAUGAGAAAGGGAGAGAGAGAGAGAGAUAGGCUGAACGGUAAAGACAAAGAUGCCAUCUGUCUGGGAUGAUAAGUAAGCGCUUAGGCAUUGUUGCGGGCCACCAACUGAAUAAUUGACUUUUUGGCGGGGGCUGCGGUAACCUGUCUACAAUAGAAAGUAAUCCACGACUAAGAGAAUAAAUAAGAUGAUAAUAACAAUUAUUUCUCAUUACACUUUCGCAUCACUUUUCCUUUCAUUGAUUUCCAUCAUAUUUCCAGCCUUUGCUACGCCUAUUUUCUGCUCUGACCUUUCUGUUAUUGGGGCAGGCUCAGCUCUUUUAUCGUCUGUUUUUGUUUUUAGACUUCUCGAAGAUCAUUUACAAAGUGUUCAGACAAAGAGCAUGCAUACAAUUGGAACUAGCUAAGGCGGCAAAACUACGCAAAAUGCCCCCACUAGGUUGCAGAUGCAAAAUCCAUGAACCGCAGCGCGUACUGUGGGACAAGUGCUAGGUCUUAUCUAAAUCAUAUGCUAGACUCUUGGUACUUAUGGUAUUGUCAGCAACCACCAAAACGGCCACAUCAACUGCAUUGAAGGACAGGCGGCGGCAAAGGCGCAGGCCGGAAGCGUUUCCUGGUUCUGCUCAGGGGAAAAUGCUGGUAAACGAAACACUGCACGACACGGCACAGCACGGCACGGCACGGAACGACACGGCGCGACACGGACACGAGCCGGUACGAAGAAGGAAACGACAAUUACGGGGACUCGACGGUUAGUUUUUCCUGCCGGCGACUCAGUUGCGGCCGUGCAAUCGUCGGGUCAACAACGGUAGCUGCCUGCAGCACGAAUAUUAUUUGGUUAUUUGGUUUUGAAGAGCGUGCGAUGAAAACUGAGGUGUUUAUAGCGGAGCACUUAUUGUAGAGCCUGUGCAACUUCGUAUACGUAUACUGAAUGUAUCCUGAGUGUAUCCUAUCCGGUAUACCUUCAGUAUACGUAACACGAGGAAACACCAGCGACGCGGGAUGUGUGAUAUAUUUAGAUUGCAUUAAAAUAAAACACCAAAACACUUUGUAAAUACUGGAAAAACUGUUGAAUUUAUAUAAUAAAUGUAUUACAUAUUUUA
Long non-coding RNA from Drosophila virilis, 2255 nucleotides. RefSeq lists it as uncharacterized. NCBI's taxonomy places the organism in Eukaryota, Metazoa, Arthropoda, Insecta, Diptera, Drosophilidae. The record is from RefSeq and is a predicted model, not a curated record.